GAGGAAACAGUUUCAGCAGUGGUCUUUGUAGUGGUCAGAUAAUUUUUUAAACCCCACACCUCAGAUCAUUGUCUGCAUUUUCCCUCUUGGGCAAAAGGAAGUUCUAACUUGGGGAAAGCACAGAUUGUAUUUUCUCAGUAGGCCUAAGAGGAACCAUAGGUGGAGGAACGAAGGGGCACUGGAGGUCCUCCCAGGUGGGUGGGAUCUCCCUGGUGGGGUGGGCAUCUUUGUCUUGAUGUGAUCAUGGAAAUCAUGGAAAUGACAGGUGGCCCGUGACAUCCUGCUAUUUAGAAGAGAAGAGUUUCUUGCAUCUCUUGGUGGGACCCCAGCUGUACCAUGUAGGAGGCACACCACACACUCAAGGCCUCAGAUGACCCCUUGGAACUGGUGUUGGGACCUCCAGUCGGGGCUGGGCUCCUUCAGCAAGAAGAGAAAGACCCUACAGGUUGGCAUAUUGUUGGUGCUGGGAGCGAGAUUUCACCUGUUUUGAUGGUUGGGCCAGAAGAGCUCUCUGAUCAUUGAGGGUGUCUUCCAGGAAGUUUCUGGUGACUGCUUGCUUCUUGGAGUUGGGACACGGUUUGUUGAAGAGUCUCUUUCUUGGUGUGUUUGUCCUAAAACAUGUCUCAAGUUGGCAGUUCCCACUUUCUCUGUGUCAAGAGCUCUUCUAACAUCCUCUGCCAUGAAUGAGGGUUCAUGGCUUUCCUGGUUCAGAAUGCAAAUGUAAAUUUUAUAGGACCUCUCUUGUUUUUCUAAUUUUUUCUCCAGGUCUUGGAUUUUCUGCUUAUUCAUUUUCACUUCCUCAAGCAGCUUCUGCUCUUUCUCCUUCCUGAUUGGCUGUCUGUGCACCAUCGUGACUUGUUGCCCAUGGCCUUCAUUAAGGCCUGUGUGGUUUUGCCUUCAUUUUCCAGGUGAGCAUUGACCCGGUGCAGGGGACCCUUGCCUCCUUCCUUGCCUUACCUACUCUUCCAACACUUGCACGCUGGACACAUCAUCUCGCUCAGAAUUGGAAGGCCGCAUCUUUUUCAAACCACUCUCUUUCUUCCUGACUUUGUUAGUGUUGCAGAGCCCUGACUUGCUGCUCAUGGCCUUCUGAAGGCUUGUGUGAUGUUCCUCUUGAGUUUUCGGCCGAGCAUGGGCUGUGCGCCCUCUUUGUUCUCCCUGCUAUGGCAUGGUGAUACUGCCACUCUCUGUUUGGAAGAGAAGGAGGCUGCAUCUUUCAAACUGUUGUGGACAGUGUUUUGUCCGGGGAUUGUCAUGAUCUGAUCCGUCAGACUUCGUAUUUUUUUUUAUCCUGGAAUUCGGCUGCUUUCUGCCUCGUGGCACAUUGGAUGCCGGGGCCGGGGGCAUGAGCCAUGGUAAAUGGCACCAGGAAAUUGGGGUAUUUGCCCACCGACUCCUUUCUCUUCUUGGCUGAGGGAUGCUCUGCAGGCGUUAACUCUCCAGAACUUGCGGCCUCCCCGCCUUUGAGGGUCCAUUUCUUUUCCCCUUUGUGCUUUCUCCUGGAGUGCUUCAGUUCCUUUCCAGUUCACCCAGCUGUGUCAGCUGCUUAGUCUUUGAUGAAAUGUCCUCUCUUCUGAGGAGUGUGUCCUGACUUUGAUGAUCUUUAUGACACCAGAGGCCAAGAAAAGCGACACUGCAAAGGGAGUCAGAGCAGCAGCCCCCUUCCUUCAGGACUUGUAAGGGCCACCUUUGGGGUGAGACCAGAGAUCUGUCCUCUAGGCUGUGACUGUGGGGACAGCUGGUGCCCCUUCAGCUUCUCCUUUGUGUGUGCUGACAAUAAUCCUUGGGGGACGCGUUGCCCUGUCCACCCCUGCCGCAGAGCCACGGUUUGCUGUGCGGGCUUUGUCAUUUAGAGCAUGGUUUUGUGCUUCAAAACUUUUCUUUGGGUUUUAAAAUUAACAUUCAGGAGGCUCGCUUUUCCUUAACCUUUAAGUUCCAUUUGCAAUUUCUGCUCUUAACAAAUUUUAACGAUCCCUUUUAAGGGGAGUUGGUGAGAUUCCGGGUCCCAUUGGAAGUGGUUAGUGGUGACGGCCCAUCUCCUGCUCAUGACAAGCUAACAGUCACAGACUGGGCGGUGCAGCCUGGUGCCGGUCCUGUUCUGCCCUGGGCUGGUGGUCCAUAAGCUCAUUUCUCUCUCCAUGUUCCAUUGAGGUGAGGCUGGCUUCGGGGACAGGCGACCUGUGCUGUCACGCAGGCCCCACACUUGGUUUAAUGCUCUGCUGUCGUCAUCUUGAAAUUCUUAAGAAUCUUUUGAAGAAGGAAGCCCCGUGUUUUCUUUUAGCACUGGGCCCUACAGAUCAUUUACCUGGUAAGUCCUGAAGAGGGGCAGUUACAGACCAGAGUGUGUCCCUCAGCAUUACUGAGGGCAGCGGGGGAGGAGGGAAGAGCUCACUGGAGAAAGAGUUGUGGAAAGAGGCUGGGGUUAAGGAGAGAGAGAGUGGAGGGUGGGUAGAGAGGGAGAGGGCCCACCUUAAAAUCAACGGGAUGAAUAGGAUGAGAGAUUAGGCAUUUUGUGUGGGACUCAGAAAGGCAAGAACAUCCCCGCGAUGGUUUGCCUCCGCAAUUAUUUGCCAUCUCAUCAGACGGGGAGCCCCGUGUGGGCAGGGAUGGGUUUGCUUUGGUUCUUUACCAGGUAACUCCCGGUGUGAGUGUAGCAUAAUGGACAGCCUGUAGCUGAGGCUCCGAACAAUAGCCGUCAAACAAUGACAAACUUCAUCACUGAGCUGAAUGGCAGUGGAAUACGUUUCUUUGACGAGCAGCGAAUCCCCGGUGGGUCAGGGCACUGGUUAAGCAGAAACCAGUGGGUCGUUGGGUGUUAAUCACUGAUAUUUCUGUUGUUGGUUGAAUGCAGUGGAGCACAUGCCCUUUGGUACACAUCUGGGGUUGCAGCCCCUGGCCCUAACCCCAUGAAUCGCUCAGUGCCUGUUGAAGAACUUUCUUCUCUCAGCAUCUGGCCCUCCAAUCUGGAUUCUUUGUGUCUCUGCUGGGUUCCUUUUUCUUCCCCUGCCUCCCACCAUAGGCACCAUGGCGCUCCAACUCAAGCACCUUAAAAAUGUCCACUUAACAGAAUGACAGAUGGCAUGGUUGGUCCCUCCAACCACUUCUGUCACUUUCUGCCUAUUUCCACAUUAAGUACAUGCUUCCCACCUGACUAGCACUCCCACCCUUACCCCUGCAACUGAACAAACCCUUUGGUCAAUGUAGGUGGUCUGUAUAUAAUAAAUAGGCUUGCUUUGCUUCUGUGGUAUCUACCCAACCCCACACGCCUUCCCUGUCCUGGGAGCUGCUCCCUCGGAGGCCGACCCUCCCCUGCUUCUCAUCGUGCAUGAAUUUCCUGGAAUAAAUCCUCCAGGAUGAGGCAUCUUGGGGAAGACAAAGAUGCUGGGAGUCCAGGAGAGGGUCUCUGGUAUCAGCUCUGUUCUGGACACCGGUAGCUGGAGUGGGGUCGGGGAGCCCGUAAGUAUUUUUCUUUGAUGGGGGUGUGGGACCUCCAGUGCAGAGGGUGAAUUUAAGCACGCGCCUCAGUUCAUGACAGUUCAUUAUCAAGGGUCUACUCUCUUGUGGGUUUUAAUCUUUUUGAAUGAGAUUUCCCACUCUCACACCUCCCUCUCCCACUGUGGGCAACGGUUCUGGAAUGCCCAGUGCGUGUCUUUUGGUUUUUUAUUGCUCCAACAAAGCACUGUUCCUAUCUUAUGUGUAAGCACUUUUAAUUCACAUAGAUGGUAUUGUCAUGCCAUUUCUUAUUCUGUUUCCUUUCUCACUCAACACUGUAUUUUAAGACGUGAUCUUCCGUUCCACAUUCUUAAAAUUUAUUGAGAUUACCCAAAGAGCUUUUGUUUAUGUGGGUUAAAACUAUCGAUAUUUACUACCUUAAAAAUUGAAACGGAGAUGUUUAAAAAUACUUAUUUAUUGAUUCAUUUGAAAAUAGCAAUGAUGAGCCCAUUGCACAUUAAUGUAAAUAACAUUUUAGCAUUAUUAUGAAAAUAGUUUUGACCCCGAAGACUCCCUGUCCUACAAUAAAGUGUCAGUUUGUUCCAGAAUGUGAAAAGGCCCUGUGAAGGACAAAGUUUGGAAAGUGAAUUUUAUAAGACCUGCAUCUGAAAAGAAACCAUGGAAUAUAUUAUAUUUUAGCAGAGUUUGUUCAGGUUUGAUGGGCUUGUUUCCUUGGUUUACUGAUUAAUAUGAGUGCCUACAAUAUGGAAAGUCAUUCUAGAAGGGGGAGAUUCUGUGUUUGACCAGAGAAUUUUUUGGUGCUUUAUGUUGAAUUUACCGUGUCUAAGAUUAUUUUAAAACACUGGGAACAAAACGCUCCUCAAUUAUAAACAAGCUAUAUGUAUACUUCUUUGUUUAUUUUACUCAUUUAUUUCACAAUCUGUGCCUGUGUAGGCUUUUAAAAGGAAAAUUAACAUAUUAUUCACCUUUUUAGAGAGUAGAGGUCAAUGGCUUUUAGGCUAUUAUUAGGUUGUGCAGCCGUCACCGCUAUCUAAUUCUACCUCAUUCCAGAACAUUUUCGAAAUGAAACCCUGUACCCAUUAGCUGUCAUUCCCCAUUUUCCUCUCCCAAACCCCAGCCCCUGGGAAUCAUUAGUCUACUUUGAGUCUCAAUGGAUUUGCCUAUUUUGGACAUUUCAUAUAAAUGGAAUCACACAAUAUGUGGCCUUUUUUGUCUGGCUUCUUUUGCUUAGCACAAUGUUCUUGAGGGUUAUCCAUGUUUAGUAUGUAUGAGGACUUCGUUCCAUUUUAUGGGUGAGUAAGAUUCCAUUGCAUGGAUACACCACAUUUUAUUUAUCCUGUCAUCACUUGAUGGUCAUUUGGGUUGUUUCCACUUUUUGGCUAUUAUGAAUACUGCUGCUAUGAACAUUUGUGUGUAAGCUUUUUGUUUCCAUAUGUCUUCAAUACCCCUGAGUCUGUUUACUUUUCAAUGUUAUCGCUUAAUUAAAUGGUUAACCGAAGAUUGUUUCUCAGGCACCUAUGGCAUUUAUUAACAAGUGUCCAGAUCUCUUCUGACAGCUCUUUAGAUUUUGCCUUCCCAAAUAAUUUAAUAUGCAAAGAAAAAAAGUGAAAGGGAACUUUGAGGAUAUCUUUCACAACUACAGUGAUCUUUGAGAUUCCCUGAGGAGACUUGGAAAAUCACAAAGAUUUGUUUUUGCACCUUAUUAAAAGAGAGAUGCUAGAAAUAAUUAGGUUCGUCUGAUGUGUUAUUAUUGUAAGAUUUGCACGAGAAGAGUUGUCAGAUGGGAAGCCAUGUUCAGCCUUCCUGAGGUUAAGCUUAUAUGGAUGAGAUGCUAAUGUAAGUAUUUUAGAAAUUGUAUGUUUUAUGGGAAGUCCCUGGCGAUCUGUCAAUGCUCUCACUGCCCAUAUGUUUUUUCCCUCAGGGGAAAUGCUCAUCUAACGUCUUUUGAAAUGGUUCUGUACUGUACCCUGAGAGAGAUGUCUGCUCUCCUGCAUUCUGAUAUUAUUGGUUAGAGCCAUCAAUUAACCACAGCUCUGGCAUCUCUGUCAUCGUACAAAUAUUUCUGUUUCCUCUGAUGCUUGCCUGAAGGCUCUGCUCUAAGCCGCAGCCUGCAGCCUGUGUCUUCAAUGCAAAGGGCCAGUCUUAGAGCCUCUUGAUAAAUGACCGUACCAGGUACUUCAAACCUGCCGUACUUUAAAGAGUAGACUCCUGGGUGCAGGCUUCUGACUGGCGUCACUUAAGCAACUCCAAGACUAGGCCCGCAGACCCAGUCAGGAUUUCCAGGACUCUCUUUGGUCCAGAAGCGGACGGCUUCAUUACAGCGGACUGCUAAGCCAAUCUAGCGGAACAAGAAUGAAUGGCAGGGGGCUGCAUGAAGUGAUGUAGGAAUUUAUUGUGGUUAUUGGUUUAUGGUGAUGUUGUUUGAACACUCUGCUUUCUGGCUAUGUGGGGGUGCCUUUUCUCUUCUUCAGCUCCCUGUAACCCACAACAAUUUAGUAGACUCUGCUUUUGUAAAUGGAAAUAAAAUGUUUACAAAUGAUGCUCGGUUUUCACUGGUGUGCCCUGGCAUCUCAUUGUGGUUUUAAUUUGCAUUUCCCGAAUGGCUAAUGAUGUCGAUCAUCUUUCAUGUGUCUGUCUGCCAUCCGUAUCCCUCUUUAGUGAAGCGGCCCAAGUUCUCCCAGCAGACUGUGGACUCUGAACGGAAACAAAGGACAGGCAUAAGGAGCACCCUGAGCCAGGCUUCUGGGCAGUUUCCGGGCCCCCAUCUCUUCAGCGUCUCCCCUGCCCCUGCCAUGGGACCAGUGUGUACAGGUCAGCUCCUGGGCUGUGGCAGACAGACUUGUCCCCGUGGGAUGUCUGCCGGGUUGGAAGACUGACACCCCCGAAGGAGGAGGCUCAUCCCAGAGGGUGGCACUUUCUCUGAAAGGUGAGUAGGACUCCCCAAAUUUGGAACCAGCUGAGGCCCUGUGAGGCCUGGGGCAGCCACAGAACGCCGGCUGGAAGUGGAGGAAGCAUCUGGCACAUCGACUCUAGCACCCACAGUAAAUAUUAUUCCCACGGCUGCCAUUCCAUGAUAACUAUGUGCCAGGCACUGUGCUAAGUGUGUGUGCAACUAAGAUUACCUGAGUCCUCUCAGAACACUCUGAGGAAGACACAUGCUGACCCACAUCUCAUACUGUGACAGGAACACAAAUAUUAACGAGUAGGGGGGCUGUGUUUUUGCCUGUGUAUUAGCUUCCUGUUGCUGCUGUAACCAAUUUCCACAAACAUUGUGGCUUAAAACAACACAAAUCUAUUGUCUUGCAGCUCUGAGGAUCAGAAGUCCAAAAUGGGCUAAAAUCAAGGUAUCGGUAGGCCCGUGGCACUUCUGCAGGCGCUGAGGGAGAGUCUGUUUUCCUGCUUUUCUGAGUUUCUAGAUGCUUCCUGCUUCCAUCUGCAAAGCCAGCAGUGGCUGGCUGACUCUUACAUCUUGUCGCUCUGACUCUGAUUUCUGCCUCCCUCUUUCACGUCUAAGGACCCUUGUGAUUACUUUGGGUGCACGUGGAUAGUCUCCGUAAGGUCAGCUGAUUAGCAACCUUAAUUCUUCUACAACCCUACGGCCCCUUUGCCAGGUGGGGUAAUGUGUUCACUACAUCUGGUGCCUAGGGCUCAGAUAUCUUAGGGGGGCCAUUAUUCUGGGGGGUUGAGGGGUACUAGGUGAGGAGGAGGCUGGGAGGAAGGGCACCCUGCGGUGUGUGGGUUGAGCAGGUGUGGCAGGAACCGUAGGGGGUGAGGAUGCAGCCCUCUGGACUUCCAGUCUAG
This is a long non-coding RNA of Equus caballus (horse), 7254 nucleotides long. Lineage: Eukaryota; Metazoa; Chordata; Mammalia; Perissodactyla; Equidae. The record is from Ensembl.